AGUGAACGCUGGCGGUAGGCCUAACACAUGCAAGUCGAACGGCAGCACAGUAAGAGCUUGCUCUUACGGGUGGCGAGUGGCGGACGGGUGAGGAAUACAUCGGAAUCUACUUUUUCGUGGGGGAUAACGUAGGGAAACUUACGCUAAUACCGCAUACGACCUACGGGUGAAAGCAGGGGAUCUUCGGACCUUGCGCGAUUGAAUGAGCCGAUGUCGGAUUAGCUAGUUGGCGGGGUAAAGGCCCACCAAGGCGACGAUCCGUAGCUGGUCUGAGAGGAUGAUCAGCCACCCUGGAACGGAGACACGGUCCAGACUCCUACGGGAGGCAGCAGUGGGGAAUAUUGGACAAUGGGCGCAAGCCUGAUCCAGCCAUACCGCGGGGGUGAAGAAGGCCUUCGGGUUGUAAAGCCCUUUUGUUGGGAAAGAAAAGCAGCAGGUUAAUACCCCGCUGUUCGGACGGUACCCAAAGAAUAAGCACCGGCUAACUUCGG
RNAcentral lists this ribosomal RNA (491 nucleotides) under uncultured bacterium. Its description in RNAcentral is "partial 16S ribosomal RNA". It matches the Rfam family "Bacterial small subunit ribosomal RNA", at positions 29 to 506 of the family's 1533-position model. The record is from RNAcentral.